RNAcentral lists this ribosomal RNA (452 nucleotides) under uncultured bacterium. Its description in RNAcentral is "SSU rRNA". It matches the Rfam family "Bacterial small subunit ribosomal RNA", at positions 26 to 518 of the family's 1533-position model. The record is from RNAcentral.
AGGAUGAACGCUGGCGGUGUGCCUAAUACAUGCAAGUCGUACGGAAAGGCCCUUCGGGGUACUCGAGUGGCGGACGGCUGAGUAACGCGUGGGAACGUACCCUAAAGUGAGGAAUAACUGCCCGAAAGGGUGGCUAAUGCCGCAUAUGCUCUUCGGAGUAAAGCUUCGGCGCUUUGGGAGCGGCCCGCGUCCGAUUAGCUAGUUGGUAAGGUAAUGGCUUACCAAGGCGACGAUCGGUAGCUGGUCUGAGAGGAUGAUCAGCCAGACUGGGACUGAGAACGGCCCAGACUCCUACGGGAGGCAGCAGUAGGGAAUUUUCCACAAUGGGCGCAAGCCUGAUGGAGCAACACCGCGUGCAGGACGAAGGCCCUCGGGUCGUAAACUGCUUUUAUUGUGACGAUUAUGACGGUAGCAGAUGAAUAAGGAUCGGCUAACUCCGUGCCAGCAGCCGC